GGGGAUUUAGCUCAGUGGUAGAGCGCUUGCCUAGCAAGCGCGAGGCCCUGGGUUCGGUUCCCAGCUCCG
RNAcentral lists this transfer RNA (69 nucleotides) under Rattus norvegicus (Norway rat). It matches the Rfam family "tRNA". From Rfam's summary of the family: Transfer RNA (tRNA) molecules are approximately 80 nucleotides in length. The record is from Rfam by way of RNAcentral. Lineage: Eukaryota; Metazoa; Chordata; Mammalia; Rodentia; Muridae.